This is a non-coding RNA of Schistosoma mattheei, 45 nucleotides long. NCBI's taxonomy places the organism in Eukaryota, Metazoa, Platyhelminthes, Trematoda, Strigeidida, Schistosomatidae. The record is from Rfam.
AUCUAACUGACGAGUCCUAAUUAGGACGAAACGCGCGUCCUGGGU